UACAGAGACUGCAAGCGUUAUUCGGAUUCACUGGGCGUAAAGGGUGCGCAGGCGGUUGGGUGUGUCAGAUGUGAAAUCCCGAGGCUCAACCUCGGAACUGCGUCUGAAACUACUCGACUAGAGUACUGGAGAGGGUAACGGAAUUCACGGUGUAGCAGUGAAAUGCGUAGAUAUCGUGAAGAACACCAGAGGCGAAGGCGGUUACCUGGACAGUUACUGACGCUCAGGCACGAAAGCAUGGGGAGCAAAAGGG
This 253-nucleotide ribosomal RNA is filed under the name uncultured bacterium. RNAcentral describes it as "partial 16S ribosomal RNA". It matches the Rfam family "Bacterial small subunit ribosomal RNA", at positions 524 to 776 of the family's 1533-position model. The record is from RNAcentral.